This 482-nucleotide ribosomal RNA is filed under the name uncultured bacterium. Its description in RNAcentral is "partial 16S ribosomal RNA". It matches the Rfam family "Bacterial small subunit ribosomal RNA", at positions 30 to 507 of the family's 1533-position model. The record is from RNAcentral.
AUUGAACGCUGGCGGCAUGAUUUACACAUGCAAGUCGAACGGUAACAGGCCGCAAGGUGCUGACGAGUGGCGAACGGGUGAGUAAUGCAUCGGAACGUGCCCAGUCGUGGGGGAUAACUACUCGAAAGAGUAGCUAAUACCGCAUACGAUCUAUGGAUGAAAGCGGGGGACCGUAAGGCCUCGCGCGAUUGGAGCGGCCGAUGUCAGAUUAGGUAGUUGGUGGGGUAAAGGCUCACCAAGCCAACGAUCUGUAGCUGGUCUGAGAGGACGACCAGCCACACUGGGACUGAGACACGGCCCAGACUCCUGCGGGAGGCAGCAGUGGGGAAUUUUGGACAAUGGGCGCAAGCCUGAUCCAGCAAUGCCGCGUGCAGGAAGAAGGCCUUCGGGUUGUAAACUGCUUUUGUACGGAACGAAACGGCUCUGGUUAAUACCCGGGGCUAAUGACGGUACCGUAAGAAUAAGCACCGGCUAACUACGUG